RNAcentral lists this ribosomal RNA (889 nucleotides) under uncultured bacterium. RNAcentral's name for it is "bacterial SSU rRNA". It matches the Rfam family "Bacterial small subunit ribosomal RNA", at positions 62 to 917 of the family's 1533-position model. The record is from RNAcentral.
UCGAGCGAGCGGAACCACAGAUUGUACUUCGGUAAUGACGUUGGGAAAGCGAGCGGCGGAUGGGUGAGUAACACGUGGGGAACCUGCCCCUAAGUCUGGGAUACCAUUUGGAAACAGGUGCUAAUACCGGAUAAUAAAGCGGAUCGCAUGAUCAGCUUUUGAAAGGCGGCGUAAGCUGUCGCUAAGGGAUGGCCCCGCGGUGCAUUAGCUAGUUGGUAAGGUAACGGCUUACCAAGGCGACGAUGCAUAGCCGAGUUGAGAGACUGAUCGGCCACAUUGGGACUGAGACACGGCCCAAACUCCUACGGGAGGCAGCAGUAGGGAAUCUUCCACAAUGGACGCAAGUCUGAUGGAGCAACGCCGCGUGAGUGAAGAAGGUUUUCGGAUCGUAAAGCUCUGUUGUUGGUGAAGAAGGAUAGAGGUAGUAACUGGCCUUUAUUUGACGGUAAUCAACCAGAAAGUCACGGCUAACUACGUGCCAGCAGCCGCGGUAAUACGUAGGUGGCAAGCGUUGUCCGGAUUUAUUGGGCGUAAAGCGAGCGCAGGCGGAAAAAUAAGUCUAAUGUGAAAGCCUUCGGCUUAACCGAGGAACUGCAUCGGAAACUGUUUUUCUUGAGUGCAGAAGAGGAGAGUGGAACUCCAUGUGUAGCGGUGGAAUGCGUAGAUAUAUGGAAGAACACCAGUGGCGAAGGCGGCUCUCUGGUCUGCAACUGACGCUGAGGCUCGAAAGCAUGGGUAGCGAACAGGAUUAGAUACCCUGGUAGUCCAUGCCGUAAACGAUGAGUGCUAAGUGUUGGGAGGUUUCCGCCUCUCAGUGCUGCAGCUAACGCAUUAAGCACUCCGCCUGGGGAGUACGACCGCAAGGUUGAAACUCAAAGGAAUUGACGGG